ACGAGUCUCAUUAUAACCAGUAAAAUCAUUACAAAUUUUGUAAUGGUGUCUAUUGUUUUUUGUUUGUUUUUUCAGUAGGGGUCCAUUGUGCAAACCUCUUUAAGCUUUGCUUUGCUUUUGUUAGAGGCACCUAUAUUAAAAUAAAUUGUACUGCAGGUACCAUGUUUGAAUGUCUUUGGAGGCCACUAGUAGGAGUCUGGAGACUCCUGUGCAGCCAUGUGACUGAUGACUCUGGUGGGAUAUUUGAGUGUCUGUGGAGGCCUCUGAGAAGAGUCUGGAGACUCCUGUGCUGCCAUGAACCUGGUGAUUCUGAAAUAAAACUUUCAGUGGAAGAAACCUCACCACAUUUUAGUGGCCAUAGCUCUGUCCGUCCGUGGUGAAGAGCCUCAAGUUGUUUCUCUUCACUGAGAUGAUCAUUUUGAAUGAAUUGAUGUCCAGCCAUACAACAGAGUUCUUGGACCUACGUUUUAAACCCAAGUUUAAAGACUGAGAAGAUGGAUAUUCUUCCUCUCAAAUCAUCUGCCCUGCUGUUCAACAUAUCCGCCUGACCGCCAUACCAACAUGGAAUGGAUUUCUACUUCCAGAAUGUAAUGUGUAACAACCAAGUUACUUUGUCAUUUCUGCCUACUCAGGGGACCACAAUUUGCACAAGCUUCUCCGUGGUUGUCUCCUCAAACCUCUGGACACCAUGAUCUUCUUUUUUGCCAAACUGACAAAGACAGUAGUGCACAAACAGACCUAAGUUGGUUGGUUUAGGUCCAUGCAUGGAGGCAUUAGCUGGCCAACUUGAACAUAAUGAAGCGCUGUACAAAUGAAGUGCUAUACCAAUGAAGUGUCCUUAGAUUUUAGAUUUUUGUUGUUUUAAAUAUUGUCUAAAAGCUGUGCAUGAAUAUUUUCAUACAUAAAUCAUGAUUCAUCCAUAGCUUCAUAAUUUUUUAGUAAAUUUGCCAAGUUUUUACACCAACUUUGUUUGCUCUCAGAUGAGAAUGCACCUCUACAGAGCAAGGUCAGGUUGACAUUCGUUGUGAAUCUGAACUUUAUGCACUUAAAUAUGCAGCAACUUAUAAGUGACUGUGGCCUGAUAUCUUUUGAUAUGUUUCCAUUAGGUUUCGUGCUGGUCAGUUCUCCACAGGGUAGUUAAUGAUUGUGUCUAGUACUUACAAUGGUUUCUUACAAUGGAUUGUACCACUGCUGAUGGAUUUUUCAUGCUGUUCUACUUGAACCUCUUAAGCCCAAGACACACUGCACGAUUUGAGCAAUUCUAUAAGAUCAUUGCAUGUCACACUGUGUGACAUGGAUCUAAUAAACUUGGCUAUGACGUAGACUGUACGUUGAUG
Long non-coding RNA from Cyprinus carpio (common carp), 1337 nucleotides. The record is from Ensembl. Lineage: Eukaryota; Metazoa; Chordata; Actinopteri; Cypriniformes; Cyprinidae.